RNAcentral lists this ribosomal RNA (481 nucleotides) under uncultured bacterium. RNAcentral's name for it is "partial 16S ribosomal RNA". It matches the Rfam family "Bacterial small subunit ribosomal RNA", at positions 28 to 507 of the family's 1533-position model. The record is from RNAcentral.
GAUGAACGCUGGCGGCGUGCUUAACACAUGCAAGUCGAACGAAGCACUUUAUUUGAUUUCCUUCGGGACUGAUUAUUUUGUGACUGAGUGGCGGACGGGUGAGUAACGCGUGGGUAACCUGCCUUGUACAGGGGGAUAACAGUUGGAAACGGCUGCUAAUACCGCAUAAGCGCCCAGCAUCGCAUGAUGCAGUGUGAAAAACUCCGGUGGUAUAAGAUGGACCCGCGUUGGAUUAGCUAGUUGGUGAGGUAACGGCCCACCAAGGCGACGAUCCAUAGCCGACCUGAGAGAGUGGCCGGCCACAUUGGGACUGAGACACGGCCCAAACUCCUACGGGAGGCAGCAGUGGGGAAUAUUGCACAAUGGGCGAAAGCCUGAUGCAGCGACGCCGCGUGAGCGAAGAAGUAUUUCGGUAUGUAAAGCUCUAUCAGCAGGGAAGAUAAUGACGGUACCUGACUAAGAAGCACCGGCUAAAUACGUG